This 414-nucleotide long non-coding RNA is filed under the name Medicago truncatula (barrel medic). Its description in RNAcentral is "lncRNA gene36202". The record is from RNAcentral. Lineage: Eukaryota; Viridiplantae; Streptophyta; Magnoliopsida; Fabales; Fabaceae.
UUUGGUAAAUUCUGCUGGAUUUUGUUUACGGGUUUUGGGACUGGGCUUCGCUAAAAUGUAUUGAGGUCUGGAGGUAACUUUGAAGUACGGGAUCUGAUACUAGAAUUGUGCAGAAUCUGGGUUAGCACUCAUGUGAGGAAGAUUGUUGUUUGUGUUGCAUCUUGAACACCUUGCAGCAAGCUUGAGCAAGCGAGCAGCAGAUAGGGGUUUGUUAGCUUGUUGGAACUUGAAGCUUGGAAUGGAAGCAUAGCAUAUCAUGGUGAGUUCUUAGAUAGUUUAACCUACCUUUGGGUUGUGUAAUCUUAGCAAGAAAACAUGAAUUUAGUUGAGUUUAGUUUAGUAAGAAUUUUAGUACCCAAUGCCAAAUCUUGUUGAUUAUGUGUUAAUAUUGCCAUGCUAACGAUUCUUGAUGUU